This is a non-coding RNA of Macaca mulatta (Rhesus monkey), 608 nucleotides long. The record is from RefSeq and is a predicted model, not a curated record. NCBI's taxonomy places the organism in Eukaryota, Metazoa, Chordata, Mammalia, Primates, Cercopithecidae.
AGAAGUGGCCCUGUUUCGUGCCCAGAGCAGAAGAGAAUGAUGAAGGGCUCUGCUCUCCCAGGUCCUCCUGGUCUGUGUGUGUCCAGAUUUUGAGGGCCUCUCACAUACAUGGCUCUGGACCAUCCUUCCUCGAAGCAGCACAACCCGUCUGGAUGUCCUCCUCGUCUCAGGAAUUUUCUAAUAAGCUGUAAAUCCAGAGAUCUGACCACAGAACAAUAAAUGCCAAAGAUGAGUUCUAAAGAUCGGGAGACAGGGACCCAGAGAAGUGAAGAGGCAUGCCUUAGCCUGCACAGCAGAUGACGCAUCUCAAGACGGACCCAAGUUUUCUGACUCCGUCUCACAGCUUUGUCCCAUUUAUCAUGAAGAUGACUGCUGAUAACACUGCUACCUACGAGCUGAGCUUGCAUGCACAUUCCUGGUGUGUACACGCAUGCGCGCACGCUCCUGUGAUGUGCUAAGUGCACAGGAAGGAGACCAGGGCCCCGAGGCAUUCUUUUGAAGUCUAAGUACUGGUAUUUCAAAAGUUUAAUGAAACCUACUAGACUCUGAGCAAAAUUCGUUUUACGUUAACCUUAAUGAAAAGUUUAAUUAAGUUCUGACAGAAUUAA